Molecule: ribosomal RNA, 429 nt
Filed under: bacterium
Lineage: Bacteria
Description: partial 16S ribosomal RNA
Rfam family: Bacterial small subunit ribosomal RNA
Source: RNAcentral
UGGGGAAUUUUGGACAAUGGGCGAAAGCCUGAUCCAGCAAUGCCGCGUGUGUGAAGAAGGCCUUCGGGUUGUAAAGCACUUUUGUCCGGAAAGAAAUGGCUCUGGUUAAUACCUGGGGUCGAUGACGGUACCGGAAGAAUAAGGACCGGCUAACUACGUGCCAGCAGCCGCGGUAAUACGUAGGGUCCAAGCGUUAAUCGGAAUUACUGGGCGUAAAGCGUGCGCAGGCGGUUGUGCAAGACCGAUGUGAAAUCCCCGAGCUUAACUUGGGAAUUGCAUUGGUGACUGCACGGCUAGAGUGUGUCAGAGGGGGGUAGAAUUCCACGUGUAGCAGUGAAAUGCGUAGAGAUGUGGAGGAAUACCGAUGGCGAAGGCAGCCCCCUAGGAUAACACUGACGCUCAUGCACGAAAGCGUGGGGAGCAAACAGG